Molecule: ribosomal RNA, 468 nt
Filed under: uncultured bacterium
Lineage: Bacteria
Description: partial 16S ribosomal RNA
Rfam family: Bacterial small subunit ribosomal RNA
Source: RNAcentral
GACGAACGCUGGCGGCGUGCUUAACACAUGCAAGUCGAACGGAAAGGCCCUGCUUUUGUGGGGUGCUCGAGUGGCGAACGGGUGAGUAACACGUGAGUAACCUGCCCUUGACUUUGGGAUAACUUCAGGAAACUGGGGCUAAUACCGGAUAGGAGCUCCUGCUGCAUGGUGGGGGUUGGAAAGUUUCGGCGGUUGGGGAUGGACUCGCGGCUUAUCAGCUUGUUGGUGGGGUAGUGGCUUACCAAGGCUUUGACGGGUAGCCGGCCUGGGAGGGUGACCGGCCACAUUGGGACUGAGAUACGGCCCAGACUCCUACGGGAGGCAGCAGUGGGGAAUAUUGCACAAUGGGCGGAAGCCUGAUGCAGCAACGCCGCGUGCGGGAUGACGGCCUUCGGGUUGUAAACCGCUUUCGCCUGUGACGAAGCGUGAGUGACGGUAAUGGGUAAAGAAGCACCGGCUAACUAUGUG